AACGAACGCUGGCGGCAUGCCUAACACAUGCAAGUCGAACGAGAUCCUUCGGGGUCUAGUGGCGCACGGGUGCGUAACGCGUGGGAAUCUGCCCUUAGGUUCGGAAUAACAGUUAGAAAUGACUGCUAAUACCGGAUGAUGACGUUAAGUCCAAAGAUUUAUCGCCUGAGGAUGAGCCCGCGUAGGAUUAGCUAGUUGGUGUGGUAAAGGCGCACCAAGGCGACGAUCCUUAGCUGGUCUGAGAGGAUGAUCAGCCACACUGGGACUGAGACACGGCCCAGACUCCUACGGGAGGCAGCAGUGGGGAAUAUUGGACAAUGGGCGCAAGCCUGAUCCAGCAAUGCCGCGUGAGUGAUGAAGGCCUUAGGGUUGUAAAGCUCUUUUACCCGGGAUGAUAAUGACAGUAUCGGGAGAAUAAGCCCCGGCUAACUCCGUG
This 436-nucleotide ribosomal RNA is filed under the name uncultured bacterium. Its description in RNAcentral is "partial 16S ribosomal RNA". It matches the Rfam family "Bacterial small subunit ribosomal RNA", at positions 29 to 507 of the family's 1533-position model. The record is from RNAcentral.